GACGAACGCUGGCGGCGUGCCUAAUACAUGCAAGUCGAACGAGAGCGACCGGUGCUUGCACUGGUCAAUCUAGUGGCGAAAGGGUGAGUAACACGUGGGUAACCUGCCCAUCAGAGGGGGAUAACAUUCGGAAACGGAUGCUAAAACCGCAUAGGUCUUCGAACCGCAUGGUUUGAAGAGGAAAAGAGGCGCAAGCUUCUGCUGAUGGAUGGACCCGCGGUGCAUUAGCUAGUUGGUGAGGUAACGGCUCACCAAGGCCGUGAUGCAUAGCCGACCUGAGAGGGUGAUCGGCCACAUUGGGACUGAGACACGGCCCAAACCCCUACGGGAGGCAGCAGUAGGGAAUCUUCCGCAAUGGACGCAAGUCUGACGGAGCAACGCCGCGUGAGUGAAGAAGGUUUUCGGAUCGUAAAACUCUGUUGUUAGAGAAGAAUAAGUGCUAGAGUAACUGUUAGCGCCUUGACGGUAUCUAACCAGAAAGCCACGGCUAACUACGUG
RNAcentral lists this ribosomal RNA (498 nucleotides) under uncultured bacterium. RNAcentral's name for it is "partial 16S ribosomal RNA". It matches the Rfam family "Bacterial small subunit ribosomal RNA", at positions 28 to 507 of the family's 1533-position model. The record is from RNAcentral.